RNAcentral lists this ribosomal RNA (344 nucleotides) under Drosophila guanche. RNAcentral describes it as "eukaryotic LSU rRNA". It matches the Rfam family "Eukaryotic large subunit ribosomal RNA", at positions 3085 to 3401 of the family's 3401-position model. The record is from RNAcentral. Lineage: Eukaryota; Metazoa; Arthropoda; Insecta; Diptera; Drosophilidae.
ACAGUGGUAUGACGCUACGUCCGUUGGAUUAUGCCUGAACGCCUCUAAGGUCGUAUCCGUGCUGGACUGCAAUGAUAAAUAAGGGGCAAUUUGCAUUGUAUGGCUUCUAAACCAUUAAAAGUUUGUAAUUUAUUUUACAAACGACAAUGGAUGUGAUGCCAAUGUAAUUUGUAACAUAGUAAAUUGGGAGGAUCAUUGAGGAGGAUCAUAAAAACAUUAUUUAAUACAAUGACAAAGCCUAGAAUCAAUUGUAAACGACUUUUGUAACAGGCAAGGUGUUGUAAGUGGUUGAGCAGCUGCCAUACUGCGAUCCACUGAAGCUUAUCCUUUGCUUGAUGAUUCGA